AUGCACCCUCUAAUACUGCAGAGAUUCCGUUGCCUGAAAGAACAAACAUCAGCCUUGGUCGAUGCUCCGUUCCCAUGGAGACAGAGGUUCCAUUUCAGGGAAAUAUUAAAGCAGAAAUUUCAAAGGGACUUCAGAAAAUGCGUAAAGCACCUCAGUAAAGAAACAAGUAUGCAGGAAAUGAGCAAAGGAGAUGGUAUAAGGAGUACAGCAGCGAGAAGAGGCACUGGAUUACUAAAAAUACUUCUAUUUUCGUCUUCAGAUCUCACUGGAACCAAGUUUGGGAGACAAGUUUCCACAACACAGUCGUUAUUGCUAUUAAAAAGUGAGGAUCACACCUACGCUGUCUGA
RNAcentral lists this long non-coding RNA (348 nucleotides) under Anser brachyrhynchus (Pink-footed goose). Its description in RNAcentral is "lncRNA (ENSABRG00000008303.1)". The record is from RNAcentral. Lineage: Eukaryota; Metazoa; Chordata; Aves; Anseriformes; Anatidae.